UUGGAGGGCAAGUCUGGUGCCAGCAGCCGCGGUAAUUCCAGCUCCAAUAGCGUAUAUUAAAGUUGUUGCAGUUAAAAAGCUCGUAGUUGAACUUCGGGAUCAAUGGAUUGGUCAUGCCGUUGGUAUGUACUGGUCAUAUUGGUUCUCACCUUCUAAGGAACCAUAAUGUCAUUCAUUUGAUGUUUUGGGGAAUUAGGACUGUUACCUUGAAAAAAUUAGAGUGUUUAAAGCAGGCUAACGCUUGAACACAUUAGCAUGGAAUAAUGAAAUAGGACAUCGCAUUCUAUUUUGUUGGUUUCUAGGAUCGAUGUAAUGAUUAAUAGGGAUAGUUGGGGGCAUUAGUAUUCAAUUGUCAGAGGCGAAAUUCUUGGAUUUAUUGAAGACUAACUACUGCGAAAGCAUUUGCCAAGGAUGUUUUCAUUAAUCAAGAACGAAAGUUAGGGGAUCGAAGACGAUCAGAUACCGUCGUAGUCUUAACCAUAAACUAUGCCGACUAGGGAUCGGAUGAUGUUGAUUUUUUAAUGACUCAUUCGGCGCCUUACGGGAAAC
This 549-nucleotide ribosomal RNA is filed under the name uncultured Glomus. RNAcentral's name for it is "SSU rRNA". It matches the Rfam family "Eukaryotic small subunit ribosomal RNA", at positions 548 to 1098 of the family's 1831-position model. The record is from RNAcentral. Lineage: Eukaryota; Fungi; Glomeromycota; Glomeromycetes; Glomerales; Glomeraceae.